RNAcentral lists this ribosomal RNA (316 nucleotides) under uncultured bacterium. Its description in RNAcentral is "bacterial SSU rRNA". It matches the Rfam family "Bacterial small subunit ribosomal RNA", at positions 8 to 333 of the family's 1533-position model. The record is from RNAcentral.
AGAGUUUGAUCCUGGCUCACAAUGAAGUAUGGCGGCGUGGAUUAGGCAUGCAAGUCGCGCGACAAGUUUCCUGCUUGCAGGAAACGGAGGAGCGGCGAAAGGGAGAGUAACACGUGGAUACCUGCCCUCAGCUCCGGGAUAGCAGCGGGAAACUGCUGGUAAUACCGGAUAAUAUCCCCGGAUCAAAGGUGUGAUUCCGGCUGGGGAUGGGUCCGCGUCCUAUUAGGUUGUUGGUGGGGUAAUGGCCCACCAAGCCAAAGAUGGGUACCGUGGCGUGAGAGCGUGGCCCGGCUCACUGGGACUGAGACACUGCCCA